Molecule: ribosomal RNA, 333 nt
Filed under: uncultured bacterium
Lineage: Bacteria
Description: bacterial SSU rRNA
Rfam family: Bacterial small subunit ribosomal RNA
Source: RNAcentral
UGCGUAGGUGGUCCGUUAAGUUCGUUGUGAAAUCCCUGGGCUCAACCCAGGAACUGCUUCGAAUACUGGCGGACUUGAGGCCGGUAUGGGUCACUGGAACAGAUGGUGGAGCGGUGAAAUGCGUAGAUAUCAUCUGGAACGCCGGUGGUGAAGACGGGUGACUGGGCCGGUUCUGACACUGAGGCACGAAAGCAUGGGGAGCGAAACGGGAUUAGAUACCCCGGUAGUCCAUGCCCUAAACGAUGCAGACUAGAUUGCAGCGGGUCUUACCCCGUUGCGGUCGGAGAAAAAUUGUUAAGUCUGCCACCUGGGAAGUACGGUCGCAAGGCUAAA